UACCAGUAGCAGUUAAGCUGCCAGCAUGAUCUUGUCUUCCUCUCUAGCUUGUUCUUAUAUAUAAGAUUAUAUGAUCAUAGCUUAGAGAGAGAGACUAGGUCAUGCUGGUAGUUUCACCUGCUAAUGAU
Molecule: microRNA precursor, 128 nt
Filed under: Arabidopsis thaliana x Arabidopsis arenosa
Lineage: Eukaryota; Viridiplantae; Streptophyta; Magnoliopsida; Brassicales; Brassicaceae
Description: MIR167_1
Rfam family: MIR167 microRNA precursor family
Source: RNAcentral